This 37-nucleotide small RNA is filed under the name Propionibacterium ruminifibrarum. Its description in RNAcentral is "Propionibacterium sp. JV5 CRISPR_Spacer". Lineage: Bacteria; Bacillati; Actinomycetota; Actinomycetes; Propionibacteriales; Propionibacteriaceae. The record is from RNAcentral.
ACGGUGCGAGGCAUGGUGGUCACGCAAGACAAGAAAA